UUUUCUGCUCAGUCACAGUUUUACUUGAAAGCAAGACUUGUCCUAGCUCCUUGUCCAUGAUUCCAAAACUUUCCAUGUUCGAAGCAGGGUCUAAUUAAAAAGGAAACUACUGGUUAGUUAAUUGAGGUAUCAUAAUUGCAGCAUAAACAUUUAAUUAAAGAUAAACUCAUCAGUUAAUACUGUAUUUAAAAGCGAAUUGGUAACUUGAAUGUGUGUACUUUUUGGAACCUGUCUAAAAACCAAAUACCCCUUCAGAUACAGUCCACCCUCUUCUAUUUAAAUAUUUUGCUGUUUUAUUUUAUAGAAAUUAUUUUGCUGAAUUCACAAAUAGAAUUUGAUUUACGAAGAACUUUUUGUCCUGUGGUGUGUUUUUGUUUUUGGGUUUUUGGUUUUGUUUAAUUUUUUUCUUACUUUUUUUUUUUGUCCAUUUUUGUUUCGUUUUUUUGAAGGACUGCAUAUUAAAAUUCUGUGCAUAGCAUGCUUAGGCAUGACACUGAAUUCAGGAGUUCAGUCACGUUAAGUUUUUGUGCACAGAAAGAUUCAACCUUUGGCCCUUUACUAAAGAUUUAGAGAAAACAGGAUGUUGACGCUGUAAAAGUUUCCUAAUCAAUCUUGUACUUUUUGUAUGUUUUUUAUAUACAUGUAUAUUUAAUGAGCACAA
This 661-nucleotide long non-coding RNA is filed under the name Lynx pardinus (Iberian lynx). Lineage: Eukaryota; Metazoa; Chordata; Mammalia; Carnivora; Felidae. The record is from RNAcentral.